Long non-coding RNA from Stylophora pistillata, 3824 nucleotides. NCBI's taxonomy places the organism in Eukaryota, Metazoa, Cnidaria, Anthozoa, Scleractinia, Pocilloporidae. The record is from RefSeq and is a predicted model, not a curated record.
AAGAAACAGUUUAAAACUUUCAAAAUCUUGGAGGCCUACAACCAUAUAGUUUCGGGUUUUAUUUCAAGUGUUCAAGGGAUAGUCGUAGGUGAAAAAUUCGUGGUGAUCGGAAAGGUGAGACAUUGGAAAGUGUUUAGAAUUUGUUUCUAUGCGCAUGCUCAGCCUUUUCAUACAAAAUAUCAGAAUUGUCCGCUAUCUUGGAUUUCGAACAUCAUGUAAGUAUACGACUUGGAACGCAUCAAAACCUGUUUGAUGAUCGACCAAGUUCCCUCUCACUAUAUUUUGAGCAACCGAACUUCUAUUCUUAAGUAAUGAGCCCAGUAGUCGAACGGAUUUCCUACAGCAACGGUAAGAUUACACUCGUGGCGAUAAUUUUACCCUUCGCAGCUGUUUUUAGUGAACUGCGAGAAAGCACUCUCUACGGCAUUUUUUCACUUUUCACAGAGGCAUUUAUGAGAAUUUUGGGAAAGAUUUCGGUAUAACCUCAUACCAACAAAAAUAAAGCCGAAGUCCCAAAGGUAAUCUGUUGUUUUGCUUCUGUUCUACAUCAUCAACAUAAUUUAUUUGCAAAAUCCUGUGAGGACAUACAGCAAAUUCCAGUGCAGAGUGCAAAGGUAAAAAUGAACAAAUAUGUGUGUGCAGCUAAGUAAUAAAUAAUUUAAAUACAGUGAUACUAAAAUAAAUAGAAUUAAUGGCACUAAAACUUAAGCAGAGAGAUAAUUAUCCAUAGUCACUUCAAAGUCAGUCUGUUUUCUUAUAUCCAAGAAUUGUAUGCAUAAUGAAGUAUGGGGUUAUACAGAAAUCUUGCUGAAUUUUUCACAGGGCCCACUGCGUACAGUCUGAAUGAAUAAAUAGAAAGUCUUCAUUGAUGUGGCUGCAAGGUGUGCUGGGUUUGUUGCAUCUGAACAAACAUGCUUGAAAGGACAGUGCCUUACAGUUCGUGUCUCCUUGUAAUUUCCCUCAGUAGUAUAUAAAUUAGUGCUCUAGUAAAUAGAGUCCUGUGCUUCUGAAGAGUACGAGAGCUGGCAAGCUCAAAAUACAUUAAGAUAUAUGCACUUAAUCACGAUUCCUUGUGUUUAUACAGUCAGUAUUUUACUUGACCAGUACAUGAUUUUUAGGGGUACACCACCAGUUUAGGUACUCCAUGGAGUAAGGCUCUGCAUUUUGUCAAAGAUUGAUCAAUUAGAGUGCUGUAUUUUCUUCACAAAGAUAACUAUUCAUAAAUUAUUAUUCUUUGUUUCAAUCCCAAUCACUUCUCAGCUCUUUGCUUGCUGGGGUUUCCAUUAUGGUGCAAUUUUUUUCUUUUAGUUGAAUGCCACUUUUUAAUAUUCAGACAACAACUAGCAAUGUGCAUCAUUAUUGUGGAAAUUGAAUGUUGGAAGUGAUUCUAAUGGCCUGAGUGCUUUUUUUGCCAAGGAAAACAAUUUGCCCAACAAAUCACAGUUGGUUACAAGCCCUUACAGCACUGAAUAGGGGGUAUGUGAUUAGAAUUGUCAUUAGUUGGUUCUGUUACUUGCCCUUGUUUGGACUUGAUUUUAUGUACUUAUUAAACUACCCUGUAACAAAGGGAAUAGUUUUGUAGUCAGUGUACAAUCUAUGACACUGCCACAAUUCUGUGGAUCUUAAAGAAAGCCCCUCUAAUGAAUAGUUUUAUAUUAAUUUUCUUUAGAUGUACAGGUAAUCAGAAAUAUUUACAGUUUCCUCUCUGUUACUCUCACUGCGGGUAGUCAUUAAUUUAGUGUUAAUACUCUCCCUAGUAGCAGCUUUAAUUUUUAGCCAACUUGGGAAAUAGUGGCCUAAAAUGGAUCCUUUGGGACAUCCAAACUAUUAAAUUUCCAGAGGAAGGUUCCACAGACUUUGCCAUCCAAGUGGGAAUAAGUGGCUGCUACUCUGUCAUUUUGGUCUUUCCCAGCUGCUCAAAUGUUGUCCCUCCUUAAUUUUCCCAUAGGUGUAGUAAUGAAAACAUUGAAGUGAAUUGUGCUAUCUCAGCGAGAGAUGAUAAUCAUGCUCACUUUUAAGUGAGUCAUCCUAGCAGAUGUUUGGUGACUGAGGUAUUGCAUUCUGUGCUCAAAAUCUAGUUCACACAGACCUGGGGAAAAAAAAAUGAGGUGCAGCAGUCAUUCAGGUCAGUUAACUGCUCCGAGCUGUAAUUCGAUGCCACUGCUCACUUGGUUAACUUUCUUGACAACUCUUUCUGGUUAUUUGGGUUUUCUUGGAAACUCUUCCCAUUGAGAAGAAGCAUAUGUGUUUACAAAUUAAAAGCACAGAAAAGUGAAAAAAAAAAAUAGAGUAACAGGACGGCAUCAAAGAUUGUAGUAUAAUUUUUUUUGUAGGGGGUAGUUUUUUAUUUUUGAAUCAGAGUUUUAGCCUUAGUGUGUCUAAGUUUCUACACUUGUUGUUUACUCUGUCAUUUCUUGCCUUAAGAAGUAAGAUAAAAUUAUUUGAAUUUGCUUUUUCCUUACAGCCACUUGAGUCUGUAAAUCGAAAGCAAACACAGAAAAAUGAUGCAGAUUGUAGCUUCAAUAGAUGCCAGAAAUAUGUUUAUGAAAAACUGGCAGAUGCAGUUUUGUAUUGUACUCCAGUGCAACAGGAGAGGGAAAAAAGGUUAGGAAGAACAAGAGAGAGACGUUAAGAGAUGGGAGGCAUGGAGUGGGAGAGAAGAAGAGUGGGUGUAGCGGCAAAAGAAAGGACCCAGGAUGAUAUUAACAGAGGAAGAGAAAAGAGAAGGGUUCGCUGUCACAAGUGUAGAGGGUUUAGCCACAUACGUGCCUAAUUUCCGACGAGACGCGGCCCGGUUGUGCCCCACCAUCGGCAAGGAAAGCAACCGGCAGAUCAAGCAAAGGAAGCGAUACCCUACUAAGUGACUCUUGAUGUCAUAUCAAGUUCUCCUUUGGUUCCACAAGUAAACAGGCAGCACGUUGGAAUGAGACUAUAGUAGUUCAUCCCAAGUCACCAAGGGCUUCUUUUGCACUCGACACUUCAAUUAUUCUGUUACAAUGUUUUAUCUGACAGUGAAUAGUACCCGUGGGCCUCUACGUAGAUGUUCACUUUGCUUGUGAAGCAAAGAUAAAUCAAUAGUUUUCCGUCAAUAUAUGCACAUGCGUCUAUGUAUACAGCGACUUCUGGGAAAAUUUCUCAUUGCCUGUAAACAUUUUUAACGCGAAAUUGAAUAAUCCCCAGGCUUUGUGCAGGGGAUUCUACAAUGUACCGGCUAAAAUUAUUGACUUCAGUCAAGGGUAACUUUUCGACACCUACCCCCGACCCAAAAUUCUUUUACGCGAAUUAAGGGUGCAAUUCCAGCGAUCUAACUAACAACUGCAGUAUAUCUGUUCAUACCUGUUUCCAUGUUUUGAGUACAUUCGAGAACUGUAUUAUGAAUUCUCGGUUUACCCCGUUUUUCUACAGCUAGAACUAACUCAUUAAAACAAAGGAAAAUCGGGUAUAAACGGGUUAAGUUCUGACAAUUCAUCACGCAAGUGAAAUGUAACCUCAGUUGUCAUGUCAAAUCGUCACCCCGAUUUUCCUUUUUUUAUUGAAUUAAUUCUAGUAAAACGGAGUAAACUCUGAAAAUUCAUGCUACACUCAAGCGGAUAAUACCCGUAGUUCCCUUAUCCCAUCUUUACUCUGAUUUUGCAAUUUUUUCAAGGAAUUAUAGAAAAACGGGUAAAUUCUAGUAACUCAUCUUCCAAGUGAAAUAUAUUCUAUUAACUUGCCACAUCUAAUCUACUUCCCGAUUUUUCAUUUUAAUUUUCGAUGAAUUCUAGAAAAACGAGACUCAUUCUGAAAAAUUCAUCCUCCAAGAGGAAUUUAUCCUACUGACUUGC